Medicago truncatula (barrel medic) is the source of this 4743-nucleotide long non-coding RNA. RefSeq lists it as uncharacterized. Lineage: Eukaryota; Viridiplantae; Streptophyta; Magnoliopsida; Fabales; Fabaceae. The transcript has 3 exons. The record is from RefSeq and is a predicted model, not a curated record.
AAUAUUUAAAAUGUAAUGAGGCAUUGUCUUUGCAGUCGCAAUCUAGUGGUCCAGAAUGGUUGGUGCAAGUCAUAACAACUUAAUUAAUAUAUUUGAAUGUAAGGUACCAAAGCAAUGGACAUUCAGUCUCUAUCAAAAGACCCUAUAUUUCGCCUCAUUGAAGGCAUCGAUCCAUGCACAUGAAUUUCCAAUAACAACCUUUCUUUCUUAAUUCAUUCGAGGCAUUAUUUUGUUGUCAUUUGCAAGGUAGUUUCGAAAAUUUUGAUUCACGAUUACAUAUAUAUUGUCGCCGUAAGAGGAAGGUAAUUACACACACACACUUGGCUACUUAUUUUUAAAAGCAUUUUUUGAAAUUGAGAAAAAUUAAUAAACUAAUUUAUAGUUGCAUAUUCGUGGGAAAAUGGUCAUUGGUCAAACAUACAUACAGUAGCACUAGCUGGUUUCAUUAUUCCACUAUGCUUCUUCAUAGGCUCUCCAAAUUUUGCAAAAUUGAAAGAGACAUAGUAUAUAUAUCUUAGCAAGGAGAAAUUCAGGAUAUUGAGGAUGAAGAUUGAAGAGUAAUCAGUGAUGAAGAAAGCAAGCAAGGUAUUGGCGCGCCUCAAUUUGAAUACAUGGCUAUAAAAAUGCAUCAUAUCAGCCAUGUAGUUUGAUUGAGCCGCGUCAAUAUCUUGUUUCCAUCUCCAAAUUUACCAAUCUCAUCAAAUCAAAUUAACACCACAAUCAAGGAUUCGUACUGAUGUCACCCUCUCCGGGUUGAAGGGUCAGAUAGAUCAAAUCAAUCGUCAACUCAAUUGCAGAGAAACACGGAGGGUGGAUGGUGUUGAGUAUCGACGUCUAUCGACCUACUCAUCCAGGAGUGUGCGGUUCAGCCGAAUGAAGCUCAUGAACGACGACGACGUGAGAACCAUUUUCUCGAUCUUUAGUUAGUACAGUACUAGAGGGUCGAUCGAGUUGGACGCUUCGUUGGUCACAUCUGUUGAACAAAUUCAGAAAAGUUUGAUUCGGUCCAGGAACUACGAAGAGAUCAGUGCACUCCUCGACGCACCACACGAAGACAUUAAUUUAGUUGAUUAGUGAUGAUGUGUUAUGUUUUAUUUAAUUACGUGUUUUAUGUUGUUUUUAUUACGUGUUAGUUAUAUGUUGUUGGUUUAAGUUGUUUUAUUAUGUUUUAAAUAAUAUAUAUAUUAUUUAAAUUUUCAUUAUGAUUUACUUUACAUCAAAGAUGUUCAUCUAACGCUAAAAUUUGAAGAUCAUUCAUUAAGCUCAAUUUUAUAGCGUGUGAGUACAAUUCAGAUUAUAUAAUUCGAAUUUUACUAGGGUGUAAGUACAAUUCGGAUUGUAUAAUACGAUUCUUUCGUAUGGUCCACAUUGUCCAUAUACCUCUAUAAAUAAGUGUUUUUUGUUUCAUUUUCAUUACCAUUGAAACACACACACACACACACACACACACACACUAAAGAAACCAUGUAAAUUUUUGCCAUUGUGUUGAGGAUCUUUCUCACGCGGUCGCAAAUAGAUAGCUCUCUAUUUGACUGCAUGAUGAAGAUCUUCAGCAUGAUGUCAAAAAAAAUAUAGAUAGAUACAAAGAGGUUUUAACUCUUGAUUUGAAUAUCAAGAGGUUGCUCUCUAUUUAAAUACCAAGAGGUUGCUAUGAGCUAGAUCUUGGUGCCUUGGCGAUAUAAAUAUCUUAGUUGGCAAGACAACAAUAUCUAACUCAAAACAAUCCUCUUGAAACACCUUGUCUUUCAUCGUUAUGUUACGGAUCUAAUUUUGAAGAGGUUUUUAUGAACUUGAUCAAGUUGGCCUGCCGAUCGAAAUAUGUCAGUUGGCAGGCCUGCAAGAUCAAGUUCAAAAACACCUCUUCAAACACCAUCCUAGAAUAUUAUGUUGUUUAAAGUUGUUUACUUGUUUUAUUUAUGCAUUUUUUUUUCUUGUAUGUUAUCAUCCAUGAAAAGCCUCCAAAAACACGGUCUGGUGAUGUUUGGAUUAUGCAAUCCGAAUUUUUUUUGUCCGUUCAGAUUAUAUAAUCCGAAUAAACUCAGUUUUUUUUACGGAGACGUUUCACCAAAGGUUUUGACGGUUAGUGGAGUGUUUAAUGCAUUUUUGGACAGUGGAACACAUUUUAUUUGACUGUAUUUAUCAUAUAGGACUUGUUUUAGGCUAUAAAUAAGCUUGCAUUUUUAACAAAUUCUUUCAUUCUUCACUUCACCUAUUUUCUUACUUUUUCUUCAACAUGUUUUUAGUUUUUUUAGGAGUGUUUAUGGUGUCAUGGUCAUUGUUGACCAUUCAUAUAAUCGCUGCAAUUGAUUUGCAGCUUAUGCAGAGAUUAUACGACGGUCAACGUAGACCUUUGACACCAAAAAAACACAAAAAAUCACAGUUCAAAAUAGUUCGGAUUUUAUAAUUCGAAAUAUACUAACAAUAUAGUUCGGAUUAUAUAAUCCGAACCAUAAGUAUUUUGGUAUUUUUUUGCAAGGCGCGUCAGAAUAACAUAGGGUGGAAAAAAUAAUAGUCGAAAUUGUAUGUGAUUAUAUAAGUAGGGGUGUACGAAACCCGACCCAAUAGUACAACAGUCCCGACUUAAGCUCAAUACGCCAGGUCUGACACGGUCAAAAAUAUAAUCAAGAGCAAACUUAGUUUAUAUAUUAUUUCUCUAUUUUAUAGUAACACUCUCAUACUCCACUCUACUUUUUCAUUUACUCAUACGCACACUUUCUAUUUUGACGAUUGUACACUUUAAUAUAUACAUUGUUUAUUUUGGUAAUAUAGAAUGUAAAUUGUUAAUAAAUUUCUAAGACUAUAUGUUGUUGGUUCCUACUACUGUUAAUUUUUGGUUUUUGGUUUUUUUUGAAUGGCAAUUUAUUUUUAUUUUUUUUAUAUAAAUAAGGGGAUUAAAUUCCAAGUAUUACACCAGAAAGAGAAAAUAAAAACACCAAAACUCCCCAAAGAAAAACCACCAGCACCCUCAAAAUGCCGAAUCCCCUAAAAACAGCUCCUCAAAGAACCAACACCGCCAACAAUGAUGAAUUAGGCACCCGAUAGUGAUUUUGCAUCAAAUGUUCAGCUUCGACCACCAUUCAAGUUUCGGUCUAUCGGAGGAGACAUCACAACAUCCUGAAAGGACUUGAGUCACAAACUUGUUCCGGACCUCGAAUCAAAAGCGAUCGGCCCACAAGACUCCUAACACAAGUCAAAAAGGCACCUAUCAACUCACGAACCACCAGAGCAGACACCUGAACCUGUCCAAAAACUCAACCAACCAAAAAUCCGAUGUCAAAAUCCAAAGACAGAAAAAAGGCGGAACAGUAGCGCCAAACGAACCAGCUCGAACACAAACAAAUCAAAAUAAUCCACCAAAACCGUCUGCAUCACCACCACCUGACUAUUCACCAUCUUGGAUUACUCUACUGCAACAUUAAGAUCAUCUUUGAUUUAUCAAAUUAUAUAAGUACUGGAGCAUGAUGACUAUUUGUGAUUCUUGGGGAUGGAAUUAUAGAUACUGGAACACCAUACAACUACUUAAAUUAAUAAUGAUGUUUGUCCUGAGAUUAAAAAAAUGUUGAGUAAUUGUUAUUUUUUUAAAUGUUUAUGUAUUGGUGAUUUGUCUUGGGCCGAAAUUGUUGUCUUGGUAGCGGUCCAUCUUUAUUGGACUCGUAGUUUAUAGGGUUUAUGGUCAUAUUAAGGUCUAAAAAUUAUGAUUAUUGCUUUUUCUACUCUAAUCUUCUCAUACGUUUUCUUUUUUAUUAAUAAAAAUGCUCUAGCGGAUUUUUGAAUUUCCACCCGGUUUUUGGGUGGAAAAUAAGUUUUUCACCUAUUUAGAUUAUACAUUUCAAAACCCCAAUAUAUCGAAGAUCUUUUUCUUUUUCUUUUAGAUUAUAAAAUUCAAACACUCCAAGAAAAAACCUCUUGUGCCAAGAGUUCUGGUAAAAUUGAUUCCAAUUAUAUAAUCUGAACUGCAUCAUCACAAAGACUGAGCCUAUUUGUAACAAGGAUAGCCAAUUUAAGAACUAUCCCUCCUUGUGUUUUAGGUCAUUGUUAGUUGUUCCCGUAGAGUCCUAGUCAAAAAUCCAAUUUUCAGUCUAUUUGAUCGGAUUGCUCUGAGAUUUGCUCAAAUAUCAGAAAAAAUUCAUAGAUAAAGACUUCCUUAGAAGGGACUUCAUGGGGGACCCACCCAUCAAAAUCCAAAAUUUCAUCGUUUGGAUCCCUUUUUAUUUUUUUAUUUUAACUUUUAAUAUUCUCAUAAAAAUCCAAAAAAAAUUGCAUUGGCUUUAUUUGAUUUUUAAAAAUAGCUGUUAACCAAUAUUUUUAAAGGCUAUCAUUUAAUGCAGUCAAAAUAGGUUGACCUUAUCAUCGAAGAAAUUGUUUUCUCAUUCCUAUCGAAGUUGGACUUGCUGAAAAUGCUCGAAAGCAUGUGUUUUAGUUCGACAGGCGAAAAAGUUACCGAAGGACAAUUUGGUUGUGGUUCGGAUAAGGUCAAGCAACGGAUAUUUUCAAGACACGUUCGAAAUUCAAAUCAAAUGGAUAAGUAUCGUUAGUUUACUGCAGUUAUAGUUUUAAAUUCAAAUCUAGGCAGUUAUUUCUAUUUGUAUAAAUAGUAGUUUUUCCCUAGGGAAAAAGGGUCGCAAUUCAAUCAUACAAAAAACUUACAAUCAAAUUAUCCGCAUGGAAGAGAGAAACGAGUCACAAGUUGCAAUGUAUGAACAUGUGUACCAAUUUACAUUCAAUCAGUACAAUUUAAGUUCA